CAAAUGGGCCAAUUGAAAUAGGUUCUUGGAUUUUUUGGGGAAGCAAUGGCUUUCUUUUGUUGGGAAUUGGAGAAACUUUGAAUUUGUUGCAGAGAAUUUUUAGCUGAGUUUGGGGAUGAGUUCUGAUGUGGGUAGCGGANUUGUGAAGUUGGUUUAUUUGGAUAAGGAAGAUAUUCAGGAGAACAAAACUUGCACGAAAUGGCGACUCCCGUUGAGCCCCCAAAUGGAGUUAGAAUUCAGGGGAAGCA
This 248-nucleotide unclassified non-coding RNA is filed under the name Hevea brasiliensis (rubber tree). Lineage: Eukaryota; Viridiplantae; Streptophyta; Magnoliopsida; Malpighiales; Euphorbiaceae. The record is from RNAcentral.